This 373-nucleotide ribosomal RNA is filed under the name uncultured organism. RNAcentral describes it as "partial 16S ribosomal RNA". It matches the Rfam family "Bacterial small subunit ribosomal RNA", at positions 527 to 896 of the family's 1533-position model. The record is from RNAcentral.
GUAGGUGGCAAGCGUUGUCCGGAAUUAUUGGGCGUAAAGCGCGCGCAGGUGGUUCUUUAAGUCUGAUGUGAAGCCCCCGGCUCAACCGGGGAGGGUCAUUGGAAACUGGGGAACUUGAGUGCAGGAGAGGAAAGUGGAAUUCCACGUGUAGCGGUGAAAUGCGUAGAUAUGUGGAGGAACACCAGUGGCGAAGGCGACUUUCUGGCCUGUAACUGACACUGAGGCGCGAAAGCGUGGGGAGCAAACAGGGAUUAGAUACCCUGGUAGUCCACGCCGUAAACGAUGAGUGCUAAGUGUUGGGGGGGUUUCCCGCCCCUCAGUGCUGCAGCUAACGCAUUAAGCACUCCGCCUGGGGAGUACGGUCGCAAGACUG